Pan troglodytes (chimpanzee) is the source of this 4117-nucleotide RNA transcript. RefSeq lists it as uncharacterized. The record is from RefSeq and is a predicted model, not a curated record. Lineage: Eukaryota; Metazoa; Chordata; Mammalia; Primates; Hominidae. The transcript is spliced from 7 exons.
UAUUAAGACUGAUGUUUAACAAUAUUAUUAAGAUUGAUGCUUAAUAAUUAAUCGUAUUAUUUCUCCUAAUACCGCAGGGGGUGUACACCUACCCGUGAUAUUGUUCCUAAUAUCCAGGGAUGGAGAGCAUGAUACUAGUUUUAAUAUCUCAGUAGGUGUACACUCACCCUGUGACACUGAUCCUAAUAUCCAGGGAGUAGAGUAUGACAUGACUCCCAACAUAGCAGUGAAUGUACAGCCACCCGGUGAUAUUGCUCCUCAUAUUCACGGAAGAAGCGUAGGAUAUUACUUCCAAAAUCGCAGGGAGUGUACACCUCUUCUGUGAUAUUGUUCCUGGUAUCCCGAGGGGGAGAGGAUGAUGAUAAUUCCAGUAUCGCAGGCUGUGAUCACCCACCCUGUGAUAUUGUUAUUAACAUCCUGAAAGGGAGAGGAUGAUAUUACUCCCCGUAAUAGAUAGAUAUUACUCCCCAUAACAGAGCAGGAGGUUUACACCCACCCUGUGAUAUUGUUCCUAAUAUUCAGAGGCCGAGAGGUCGAUAUUACUCCCAAUAUGGCAGGAAGUGUACACCCCCGUGUGAGAUGGUCCUUAAUAAUAUUCCAAGGUGGAGGGGGAGAUAUUACUCCCAAUAUCGCAGAAAGUGUACACCCCCCCAGGGAUAUUGUUCUCAUGAUCCUGGAGGGAAGAGGAUGAUGUCACUUUAAAUAUCACAGAAGGUGUGCACGCCCCCACUGAUAUCGGUUCUAAUUUCCACGUGGGAGAGGAGGAUGUGACGCCCAAUCACACCUGCAGUAGAAACACAGCUAUGAUACUGUUCUUAAUAUUCAGAGAGGAGGACGAUGAUAUUACUCCCAAAACAGACGGCUGUACACCGUCUGCACACCGAGGGUGUACCCCCAUCUGUGAAAUAGUUUAUAAUUUCCAGAGGGGGAGAUGAUAACACUCCGAAUACCGUAAACAGGCUGUGAGUCCACCGCGGAUCCUAAAAACCAGGGAGGGAAGAGGGGCUGGCACUUACUCCCCGCAUCGCGUGGGGUGUCUCACCCCCUUGCGAUGGGGGUCCUAAGAGCCAGUGGGGGAUGAGGGGCUGGCUCUCAGUCACUGCCUCGCGGGUGGUCCUUCCCCCCGCUGCGAUGGGGGUCCUAAGAGCAAGGGGGGGAAGUAGGGCUGGCUCUCUGUCCCCGCCUCGCCGGAGGUACCUCGCACCCUUGCGAUGGGGGCCCUAACAGCCAGGGGGGGAAGAGGGGCUGCCUCUUACACCCCGCAUCAAGGGGGGUCCUGGCGAUGGGGGUCCUAAGAGCCACGGGGGAAGAGGGGCUGCCUCUCAGUCCCCGCCUCGCGGGGGGUGCCUCCUCCCCCUGCGAUGGGGGACCUAAGAGCCAGUGGGGGAAAGGAGCUGGCUGUCAGUCCGUGUCUCGCAGGGGUGCCUCCCCCCUCCGGGAUGGGGGUCCUAAGAGCCAGUGGGGGAUGAGGGGCUGGCUCUCAAUACCAGCCUCGCGGGGGUGCCUCACCCCCAGGCGAUGGGGAUCCUAAGAGCCAGGGGGGUAAGAGGGGCAGGCUCUCAUUCCCCGCCUUGCGGGGGGUGGCUACCUCCCCUGCGAUGGGGGUCCUUAGAGCCAGGAGGGGAAGAGGGGCUGGUUCUCAGUCCCCGCCUCGCGGGGGAUUCCUCCCCGUGCCGCAAUGGGGGUCCUAAUAGCCAGGUGGGGAAGAGGGGCUGGCUCUCAGUCCCUGCCUCGCGGGUGGUCCUUCCCCCCGCUGCGAUGGGGGUCCUAAGAGCAAGGGGGGAAGUGGGGCUGGCUCUCUGUCCCCGCCUCGCCGGGGGUGCCUUGCACCCUUGCGAUGGGGGUCCUAAGAGCCGGGGGGGGAAGUGAGGCUGGCUCUCAGUCACCACAGCAUGAGGGGCCUUUCUAUUCUGGUUUUGCCCAACAGUAAGCUUAUUUGAAUCUGGUUCUAGCAGGGCAGUUGCUGCGAAGGCCCUCAAACAGGGGGGCCAUCCUUUAGAAAACCUGUCUAGCUGUUUAGAGAGGUAGGCCACCGGCCUCAGCCAGGGCCCCACAGUUUGGGUUUAAAGUCCAGCUGCCAUCUUUUCUCUGACGCAUACAGUGGAAAAGGCUUUGUGAGAUCCGCUAGCCCCUGGGCUGGGGCUUUCAGAAGUUUUUCCUUUAAGUCAUGAAAGACUUGCUGUUGUUGGAAUCCCCAUUCCAAAUGUUCCCGGUCCCCGCCCCCUUUGUGACGUCGUACAAAGGCGUGGCUAAUACUGCAAAGUUGGGCUCCGCAGUCUACAAAACCCCACAGCUCCUAGGAAUUCUCUCACCAGCCUUCUGCCCUUAGGCUCCAGAAGAUUGCAAAUGACUUGCUUUCUUUCAGAUCCCGGGCUGCUUUCGGACACCUGUCGAAUAGUAAAUCCCAAGUAAGCUACCUGCGGUCAUCGGCAGAUCUGAGUUUUCUUCUUGGACACCUAAUACCCACAGCCCUCCAGAGACCGAGAGGUUGAUGUCACUCCCAAUAUCGGAGGAAGUAUACACCCCCAUGUGAGAUGUUCCUUAAUGAUAUUCCACGGCGGAGGGGGUGAUAUGACUACAUACAUGGCAGAAAGUGGAAACCCCCCAGGGAUAUUAUUCCCACGAUCCUGGAGGGAAGAAGAUGAUGUUACUUUCAAUAUGACAGAAGGUGGAUGAAGUGGUGGACUGCCCCUCCACACCUGUGGACACGCCCCCACUGAUAUUCCUUGUAAUUGCAACGUGGGAGAGGAGGAUAUGACACGCGAUAUCCAGGGAGCAGAAACACCCCUGUGAUACUGUUCUUCAUAUUCAGGGAGGAAGAGGAUGAUAUUACUCCCAAUACAGACGGGUGUACACCCGUCUGUGAAAGAGUUCGUAAUCUCCAGAGGGGGAGGUGAUAUUACUCACAAUAUGACUGAGUCUUGCUCUGUUGCCCAUGCUUUGCUGGAUCUCGGGUGACUGCAACCACUGCCUCCCAGGUUCAAGAGAUUCUCCUGCCUCAGCCUCCUGAGUAGCUGGGACUAGAGGCGUGUGUCACCACACCCAGCUAAUUUUUGUAUUUUUAGUAGAGAUGGGGUUUCACCAUGUUUGCCAGGAUGGUCUCUAUCUCCUGACCUUGUGAUCCACCCACCUCAGCCUCCCAAAGUGCUGGGAUUGCAGGUGCGAGCCACCGGGUCCAGCCUCUCAGGCGAUUUUCAUACCUGCAUACUCUGAUCACUACUCUGUUAAACAGUCAAGGAGGGUAAGUAUUAUCUUCAGAUUUCCAGAGCUCUGUCUCUGUACAGCCCUCUCCUCCUCAACAUUCUGCCCUAUGAAUUCUAGCCACAUUGGCCUUCCCAGACUCAGAGUUCUGUCCUCUCAACUCAGGAAGAUCUCUGAGCUCCAUCUGCAUUCUUUCUUCCUGUGCUGUGGCCUGGAAAGUUUUCUAAGGUGUUUGGGAGGUCAAUUGUGGGGCUAGCCUCAUUUGUUUCUCAUUUCUUGAGGAUCACUGCCUUUUGAUGCUUGAUUCCAGUGAUUGAUUCCCUUUGUUGGUUGAGGGCCAUAGUUUCAUAUAUUUUGUCCAGUAUUUUUGUUGUUUUAGGUCAGAAAGUAAUUUUGGUCUCUGUUACUCCAUCUUGGCCAGAAGGCUGAGUGCCACGUGCUGACAUCACUAAGAUCAAUACAGCAAACUCUGAAAGAUGGAGAGAGAGACAGGAGAUGGUCCUUUAUAAUGCAGUGUGAUCUGUGCUGCAAUAGAGAUGGAAGAGUGUUCUGAUCGGCUGGAAAACAACGCACAUGGGAAGCUGUACAGAAAUGAGUGGGGAAAGUUUUGGAAGCUAGAAGUUCAAAAUGAGGUGUUGGCAGCACCAUGCUCUCUCUGAAGAUGCUAGGAAGAAUCUGCUCCAUGCCUUUCCAUUAGCUUCUGGGGUUUCCUGCAAGCCCUGACAUUCCUUGGCUUGUAGAUGCAUCACCCCAGUUUCCGCCCCCAUCAUCACAUGGCCUCCUCUCUGUGUGUGCCUCUGCAUUCCCUCUAUUCUUCUUCUAAGGACACCGACACCAGUCAUAGUGGAUUAAGGGUCCACUCCUAACUAAUUACAUCUGCAACAACCCUAUUUCCAAAUAAAGUCACAUUCUAAGA